This is a non-coding RNA of Triticum aestivum (bread wheat), 115 nucleotides long. Lineage: Eukaryota; Viridiplantae; Streptophyta; Magnoliopsida; Poales; Poaceae. The record is from Rfam.
GUAGUACUCCCUCCGUUCGGAAUUGCUCGUUGAAGAAAUGAAUGUAUCUAGAUGUAUUUUAGUUGUAGAUACAUCCAUUUUUGUGACAAGUAAUUCCGAACGGAGGGAGUAAUAG